Long non-coding RNA from Rhinolophus ferrumequinum (greater horseshoe bat), 305 nucleotides. RefSeq lists it as uncharacterized. The record is from RefSeq and is a predicted model, not a curated record. NCBI's taxonomy places the organism in Eukaryota, Metazoa, Chordata, Mammalia, Chiroptera, Rhinolophidae. The transcript is spliced from 3 exons.
UUUCGCCUGAGUCACCUGGAGUACAUACCUGAGACAGCAGCUGAGGGCCUCUGGGAACAUUAGAGAAAACCUGAUAACCCAGCAUAAAAAUCCAGCCUGGAGUUUUUAGAGGCUUAUUUUCUGUACACCUAUAAUGAUGUGUGUCGAGGAGUCCCAGGAUUUGGUCAAAAGUGCAGUUCUGGAUGUCUCAUGAAAUUCUGGAUUUCUGACAUCUGAAAAGUUUGAUGAGCUGACAACAUGGCCUACACAUUGUGUGUGUGUGUGUGUGUGUGUGUGUGUGUGUGUGUAAAGGGGGACUAUUUAAC